RNAcentral lists this unclassified non-coding RNA (60 nucleotides) under Bodo saltans. The record is from RNAcentral. Lineage: Eukaryota; Euglenozoa; Kinetoplastea; Eubodonida; Bodonidae.
AGAGCAAUUACAAAACAAACCAUUAGCAGACAAAGAAACAGUAAUUUUUUUUUUUUUUUU